CCAAUAGCGUAUAUUAAAGUUGUUGCGGUUAAAAAGCUCGUAGUUGAACCUUGGGUUUGACUGGCCGGUCCGCCUCACCGCGUGUACUGGUCCGGCCGAACCUUUCCUUCUGGGGAGCCUCAUGCCCUUCGCUGGGUGUGCUGGGGAACCAGGACUUUUACUUUGAAAAAAUUAGAGUGUUCAAAGCAGGCCUAUGCUCGAAUACAUUAGCAUGGAAUAA
This 220-nucleotide ribosomal RNA is filed under the name uncultured Ascomycota. RNAcentral describes it as "partial small subunit ribosomal RNA". It matches the Rfam family "Eukaryotic small subunit ribosomal RNA", at positions 591 to 817 of the family's 1831-position model. Lineage: Eukaryota; Fungi; Ascomycota. The record is from RNAcentral.